Non-coding RNA from Camellia sinensis, 623 nucleotides. Lineage: Eukaryota; Viridiplantae; Streptophyta; Magnoliopsida; Ericales; Theaceae. The record is from RefSeq and is a predicted model, not a curated record.
GCCUGCUCAGACUCUCAACAUCGCUCUCUUUCUCUCGCUCGCCCAAACACCGGGUUUAGAUCGAUACAUUCAUCUGGCCUUCGCGAUUUCUAUUCUUCAAUUUAUGUUCUUUGCGAUUUCUUCUUAUGAUCGAUGCCUUCAAUAUCAUUUGGAAUUCUGUUCUUCGCGAUUUCGUCAAAGUUGUUGCUGUGGAUUGCAAUUGAAUUCCUUUAGAUUGUGUUUUAUUGAGAGAUUCUCUGAGAGCAGUGGAUUUGGGCCAAGGUUUUCCCCUUCUCUCUUUCAUUCUUCUUCUGAUUCGGUAUUAUUUGGGACCAGGAGACCGAUGCUGUAGGUCAAAGAAGGAAGUCCUACUAUACAUUAAUCAAAUGAACAGAGCUGCCGAGGUAUGCAAAAGUUUAAGUUCCAUGACAACUUAUCUUGCUCAGACACACAUAGAUGUAACAUAGAACAUGGAACUUCCAUUAGUAUAUUAAAUAAUUGAACAGAUGAUUAGCAGCAUAGUUCAAGAAUGCUUUAUUCAAAGCUGGUAAAUGGGAUUAUAACUAUGUAGCACGGAUACGGACACGGGACACGAUACGGACACGUGAAAACGCAAUUUUUCAAAAAAUAGGGGACACGACACG